AUUUUCAGGCCUGUGGGAGGCUCCCAAACAAUCACAGUAAUUCAUAUAUGAUUUCAAAAUUUGGAAGAGCUGUUGGUUGCUAUGAGAUAUACAACCGGGAGAAUUUAUUUACUCUGGAACGCUGGGAUCCAACUUGCUUUUAAAGUACGAGGCUGUCAGAGGAUUCAGACUGAGCAUCUGCACUUCGGUGGGGAUCAACUGGUACAUAACAGCAACAUCACUGAACGUAAUAGAAUCAAGAAAACUGCUUGGUAAUUAUACUAAAAUCUACGGACUGAAGGGCGUCAGUAGAGACAGCAAAAUUGUGAGAGGUUGUCAGGAUUCACCAUGACAGGAAUUGAUCCCAUGGAGCAGGACUGUGAAUACUGUAGAAUGAUUGCACUCAGCAACCUGUGUGGCAAAGAGAAGUAGACAUGUGCUACUGCCUGGGGCCAGAGGAUGAUGGGAAGGUGGAAAACAACCAUGGAAACAUAAGAGAGGGUGACCAAGACCCCGGUCAAAGGUUUGAACUCUGAGGUUUACAUAUGAAGAACCUGAGAUAAGAGAAGAAUAUCAGAUGAAGUCCAGAUAGAAUCAAUCUGGCCUAGACUGGCCUGGGGCGCUGAGGAUCAGACACAACCAGAAGAUGAAAGAGAAAGGAAAAUCCAGGGGCUUGCUUCUUUCAAAGGACUCGAAGGAUAUAACUUAAGGAAAAGUAGUAGUUGGACUUAUUCCCACUUAAUUCUGUCAUUUUGGAGUGCAAGUUUGGAUUGCUACUCCCUGGGACCACAAGUUAGAUGGUCUUACAUCACGUGCCACGCUUCUGACGCAAGGUUAGAGCCGGAGUCCCACCGUGGUGCCUUCUCACAUCCUUCCAGAUGAUGAAAAGAAAAUAACAGUAACAGCAACACCAACUUUUUAUGGUCAUUUUAGUGAGGUUUUGGAAGAAGUGAAGAUCAAUACCUUUAUCAUUUAACUACUUCUGUGUAAUGAAUUGCCAAAAUACCCCUAAACCCCUUGUCUUAAAACAAUAAAUAUUUGAUAUGGCCCAUGACUCCAUGGUUCAGCUGAGUAGUUCUGGUGAUCAGACCAGCUUUGGCUUAUCUCAACUGAUGAGUUGACUGGGGUCUGGCUUGUAAAAGAUGGUCUCAUUCAUGUAUCUGUAGGUUGGCUUGCUCUUGGCUGAAGUAGUGGAUCUAUCAUCAUCCAUUAGGCUACCAUGGGUUUGUUUUCAUGGUGGCUAGGCAGGUUUCUAAGAGCAAAAGCAGAAGCAUGCAAGGCUUAUGCUUGUAGCUGGUACAUUAUCAUUUCUGCCAUGUUCUAUUUGCCAAAAGCAGUAUCAAAGGCAGCCCAGAUUCAAGUAGUGAGGAAAGAUUAGU
This is a long non-coding RNA of Choloepus didactylus (southern two-toed sloth), 1358 nucleotides long. RefSeq lists it as uncharacterized. NCBI's taxonomy places the organism in Eukaryota, Metazoa, Chordata, Mammalia, Pilosa, Megalonychidae. The transcript has 8 exons. The record is from RefSeq and is a predicted model, not a curated record.